UGGAAUGAAACUCUGGAGAACUGAGUCCUCUGUUUAGCCCCAGAGCAAGUACAGCACAGGUAGGAGUGGUGCAAGCUUCACACAUGCUGUACCCACCAAUGUACCUCAAGCCUGAACCUCGGAGAGACAACACCCUUUGGAGACAGGGUGGGCGGAGCUCAGCUUUCAGGUAUCUCUUCCUUCCUCGGUCCCU
Molecule: small RNA, 193 nt
Filed under: Chelonoidis abingdonii (Abingdon island giant tortoise)
Lineage: Eukaryota; Metazoa; Chordata; Testudines; Testudinidae
Description: TUC338 (ENSCABG00000015197.1)
Source: RNAcentral